Molecule: ribosomal RNA, 254 nt
Filed under: uncultured bacterium
Lineage: Bacteria
Description: partial small subunit ribosomal RNA
Rfam family: Bacterial small subunit ribosomal RNA
Source: RNAcentral
AGGACGAACGCUGGCGGCGUGCUUAACACAUGCAAGUCGAGCGGAAAGGCCCUUCGGGGUACUCGAGCGGCGAACGGGUGAGUAACACGUGAGCAAUCUGCCCUUAGCUCCGGGAUAGCUCCGGGAAACCGGAAUUAAUACCGGAUAUGACUAUGGCCGACAUCAGCCAUGGUGGAAAGUUUUUCGGCUAGGGAUGAGCUCGCGGCCUAUCAGCUAGUUGGUGGGGCAACGGCCCACCAAGGCGACGACGGGUA